UACAGAGGUUCCGAGCGUUGUUCGGAUUCACUGGGCGUAAAGGGCGCGUAGGCGGUGAGGUAAGUCGGAUGUGAAAUCUCCGGGCUCAACCCGGAAAUGGCAUUGGAAACUACCUUGCUAGAGGAUUUGAGGGGGGAUUGGAAUACUUGGUGUAGCAGUGAAAUGCGUAGAUAUCAAGUGGAACACCAGUGGCGAAGGCGAAUCCCUGGAGAAUACCUGACACUGAGGCACGAAAGCUAGGGGAGCAAACGGG
Molecule: ribosomal RNA, 253 nt
Filed under: uncultured bacterium
Lineage: Bacteria
Description: partial 16S ribosomal RNA
Rfam family: Bacterial small subunit ribosomal RNA
Source: RNAcentral